GUCUGUGUCUGUAACAAAUUUGUAACUAUCUCGCUUCAACGUGAUGAUUUUCAGGUGUCAGAGCAAAAUCUCAGCUUUUUGUUUCAGUAUCCAAAAAUUUCGACUCUAAUUUCUUCUCGUUUCAGUUUCCGACAGGUGCUGUAAAAGCUUGUAGGAUUUGUAAAUGGUUUAAUCUGUAGGUUCUUGCGUUUUAUGAUAAUUUAAGGGGUUUAUGGUAUAAAGGGUUAUCGAAUUGUUAUACAUGAUGUCCGGAUCUGAGCCGGGAAUCAUGUCGGCUAGAGAAUAUUUCGACGUCGGUCUCCAGAAAAGUGCUGCACCUUCUCAACCUUCGGGGAUAGCCAACAUGAGAUUAGCGUUCAGUUCCGAUGGGACUGCAGUCUACAAACCUCUCAACACCUCUCCAACAACUUUUCAACCAAGCAGUGGAGCUGCUGCUACUGGUAGUGCUGGUGGUGGAGGCGGUGAUGGUACAACCGGCGCAAUUGUUCAGCACGGUCUUAAUAUGAACAUGGGUGAGCCGAUGAAGCGGAAGCGAGGGAGGCCGCGAAAAUAUGGUCCUGGCGGCACCAUGGCACUUGCAUUGACGCCUACGACGCCUGCUGUCCCCUUCGGA
Molecule: long non-coding RNA, 613 nt
Organism: Telopea speciosissima
Lineage: Eukaryota; Viridiplantae; Streptophyta; Magnoliopsida; Proteales; Proteaceae
Exons: 4
Source: RefSeq, a predicted model, not a curated record